This is an unclassified non-coding RNA of Macaca fascicularis (crab-eating macaque), 116 nucleotides long. It matches the Rfam family "Metazoan signal recognition particle RNA". Rfam says of the family: The signal recognition particle (SRP) is a universally conserved ribonucleoprotein. The record is from Ensembl. NCBI's taxonomy places the organism in Eukaryota, Metazoa, Chordata, Mammalia, Primates, Cercopithecidae.
GCCAGGCGUGGUGGUUCACGCCUGUAAUUCUAGACUCUGGGAGGCCGAGGUGGGUGGAUCACUUGAGGCCAGGAGUUCAAGACCAGCCUGGCCAACAUGGUGAAACCCCAUCUUUA